GUCACAGACCCAGAGGCACAAACCCAGAGGUACAAAGUCACAGACCCAGAGAGGCUUUUCCCAGCCCUGAGCCCGUGCUUGGCCAGGAAACCAGGCCAGGAGAAGGAAUUUGGAGCUUCAGGAGCAGCCGUGCAGCCCAAACCCCCCUGAACCAGCCUGGGGAUGGGAUUUAGCAGAGUUUGUCCCCACAGGAUCCUCUGCUGGCUCUCAGCAUCCCAGCCUGCAGAGUUCCACCGCUCCAGGGACUCAUUCCGUGGUCAGGAGGAAGAAAGAGCUCAGGGUUACCCGGAGUAAUUGGAACUGCACGACCCCAAAGCUUCUCGCCGGAGAAUCACAAAAGGCUCAGGCUGCUCCUGCAAAUCCUCCCAGAGCCGCCUCAGAGAUUCAGAGAUUCUGCUCAAACAGCCCCAGCACAGAGCCCUGCCUCGCCUUUCAUCCUCACAUGCUCCUGUGCCUUCCAAAGGAGAUAAAAUGGAAUUAAAAACUGCCCCGGCAGAACCUCGUCAGGAACCCAUGGUUCUGCUCCGCUCCAGAACAGCGAAAUCCUGAUUUAUUCAUGGCAAAGUGCAUCACGCAUAACAAAUGGCGGAGAAAUUAAAGGAUGUGCUGAUUUGGAAACGA
This is a long non-coding RNA of Vidua macroura (Pin-tailed whydah), 621 nucleotides long. RefSeq lists it as uncharacterized. The record is from RefSeq and is a predicted model, not a curated record. The transcript is spliced from 2 exons. Lineage: Eukaryota; Metazoa; Chordata; Aves; Passeriformes; Viduidae.